AAAAAAAAAAAAAAACCCGAUUGAAAUCGAUGAUUUGGGCCGAAUUGAACCGAAUCAAACCGGUUCGACCCGAACCAUCUAGAAAACUCUCUUUUUCUUUUAUCUUCAACGCCAAGCUCACUUUCCCCCUCCCCAGCUCACCUCCACUCCAUCGCCAUUGCCACCACAGCGCCACUGCCACCACCCCCUCUCCCUCUCCUUCUUCCUCUCCUUCUUCUUCUUCUUCUUCUUCUUCUUUUUCUUCUUUUUCCUUUUUCCCUUCCCUCUUUCCCUUCUUCCUCCUUUUUCUUUCUUUUUCUUUCCUUGUGCCUGCGUUCUUGGCGAGACAGAGGCAACGCAGCAGAGCCGCGCGCCACUGCCACUCCGCCACCGCCCCUACUACAGCUCGGCAACGCAGCUGCUCCGCCAGCAGCUCCUCGUCUCCUUGGCCAGAUCGCGUUGCUGCUCCUCUGUUGCGCCUACAGCAGCAGCACAGCUUUGUCAAGCCAACGCUGCCACUGCAGAUCGGGCCUCCGCCGGCGUCACAGCAGCUCUGCUGUCCCUCCAGCACGCCGAUCGGUCGUCUCCGCCUCCCUCCGCCACUGCCAGUCGAGUUCGACCACCGACAGUCACUGCUUCUAACCCGACAGGCAUCGCUCGGUUCAUCUAGUGCUCUUCCAGGACAGAAUCAAAGCUAGAACCUUGCUCUUCAUCACUGUACUAGGAAGCAGCUGAUUCAACUGAAGCUCUGCAAAUCUUCUCCGCAGAGUUACAAAUGUAAACUUUAUAUUGUUGAUAUUUAAUUUUGAAUGUAUAAAUUAUUCUGUUAUCAGAUUUUUUUUGGACUCCGCAGUUAUAGGGUUGUGUAUUUAAAUUGGGCCUUAUUGUUCACUACGCUAUAAAUUAAUUAUUGUGUAAUUAACUGUAGGUAAACUAGUAAGCCCUUAUUGUGAUUAUUUGUUAUUGUGAAUAGGCCCUGGUUAAAUUUUAUGUAUUAUUUGAUAUUGGGUCAGAUGUUUGAAAAUUUUAUAAAA
Non-coding RNA from Jatropha curcas, 1013 nucleotides. The record is from RefSeq and is a predicted model, not a curated record. Lineage: Eukaryota; Viridiplantae; Streptophyta; Magnoliopsida; Malpighiales; Euphorbiaceae.